Castor canadensis (American beaver) is the source of this 431-nucleotide non-coding RNA. Lineage: Eukaryota; Metazoa; Chordata; Mammalia; Rodentia; Castoridae. The record is from RefSeq and is a predicted model, not a curated record.
CAUCUUCAUAAGAAAGACAUUUAAUUAUUUUUUUUAACCUUUCUGUAGCAUGACGACAGAGAUGAUGGUGUGGAUUAUUGGGCCAAAAGAGGAAGAGGUCGUGGUACUUUUCAACGUGGCAGAGGGCGCUUUAAUUUCAAAAAAUCAGGUAGCAGUCCAAAAUGGACUCAUGACAAAUACCAAGGGGAUGGGAUAGUUGAAGAUGAAGAAGAGACCAUGGAAAAUAAUGAAGAAAAGAAGGACAGACGCAAAGAAGAAAAGGAAUAGUGAGUCUGAAGUACAAUUGCAACAGAGAGCAGAACUUGCACCCACCAUUUUUUUUAAUCUGAUAUUUUUGUUUUCAAAUAAGAAUGUAAGCAUUUUACCUAAAUCUUACUGUUUGCAAGUAGUCUAUAGAAAUUUUGUUUUAAGUCUUCAGAUACCUUGAAAAA